RNAcentral lists this ribosomal RNA (236 nucleotides) under uncultured bacterium. RNAcentral's name for it is "partial small subunit ribosomal RNA". It matches the Rfam family "Bacterial small subunit ribosomal RNA", at positions 26 to 288 of the family's 1533-position model. The record is from RNAcentral.
AGAGCGAACGCUGGCGGCAGGCUUAACACAUGCAAGUCGAGCGGGCGUAGCAAUACGUCAGCGGCAGACGGGUGAGUAACGCGUGGGAACAUACCUUUUGGUUCGGAACAACACAGGGGAAACUUGUGCUAAUACCGGAUAAGCCCUUACGGGGAAAGAUUUAUCGCCGAAAGAUUGGCCCGCGUCUGAUUAGCUAGUUGGCGGGGUAAUGGCCCACAAGACGAUGAUCGGUAUCC